Molecule: ribosomal RNA, 493 nt
Filed under: uncultured bacterium
Lineage: Bacteria
Description: partial 16S ribosomal RNA
Rfam family: Bacterial small subunit ribosomal RNA
Source: RNAcentral
AUUGAACGCUGGCGGCACGCUUUACACAUGCAAGUCGAACGGUAACAGGUUAAGCUGACGAGUGGCGAACGGGUGAGUAAUGCAUCGGAACGUGCCAGAUCGUGGGGGAUAACGCAGCGAAAGCUGCGGUAAUACCGCAUACGAUCUGAGGAUGAAAGCGGGGGACCGUAAGGCCUCGCGCGAUCGGAGCGGCCGAUGGUAGAUUCGGUAGUUGGUGGGGUAAAGGCUCACCAAGCCAACGAUCUGUAGCUGGUCUGAGAGGACGACCAGCCACACUGGGACUGAGACACGGCCCAGACUCCUGCGGGAGGCAGCAGUGGGGAGUUUUGGAGAAUGGGCGAAAGCCUGAUCCAGCAAUACCGCGUGCAUGAGGAAGGCCUUCUGGUUGUAAACUGCUUUUGUACGGAGCGAAAAGGCUCUCUCUAAUACAGGGGGCUCAUGACGGUACCGUAAGAAUAAGCACCGGCUAACUACGUGCCAGCCGCCGCCGUAA